Molecule: long non-coding RNA, 1645 nt
Organism: Oncorhynchus keta (chum salmon)
Lineage: Eukaryota; Metazoa; Chordata; Actinopteri; Salmoniformes; Salmonidae
Exons: 4
Source: RefSeq, a predicted model, not a curated record
GUGCACGAGCUCUGUGCAAUACUCAUGCAAUGACUUCUUUUACCAGUGAUGAAAGAAGACUUUGGGCGGGUUUAGGGUCGUGUUGAGCUCCUCAUCACACCUGUUUCUACAUCCCAUGAAGAAGAGCUUGAACGUGUUGCUGUGCAGAAAUACAUUAAAAUGGUCCAAAAGUGGAUGCAGACACUUGUUUUACUGUUCUUUUGUCAAGAAACUCUCCAACGGAAUGAUCUAACAGAGAAAAGGGAUGGUGACCAUGCACCUUGCUUGGCCAGCCCCCAUGACAACAACAACCACAAUUACUGCACCAAUGACCACAACCAUAGAGCUAACCAACUACAACUGCCAAGUCGUGCAAAGUGGGAAAGGUGGAACCUAGUGCUCCUGUGAUUGUUUGAGCCCCAUUUGGCUGCUGGCUGUGGCCUCCUCUUCAACAUCACCGUAUCCCAUUGCAACCCUGAGUCCUGCAUUCACUCACCAAUAUAGCCCCAUGUACCCAUGAAACACACACCCAACAAACAAAACAAGAGUAUUGAACCAACUGAUGUAAAUAUGCUGCCUUAAUUUUUCUGUUAGAAUGUACACUCUAUGACCAAAAUAAUGUGGACAGCUGGUCGUUGAACAUCUCAUUUCAAAAUCAUGGGGAUUAAUAUGGAGUCGGUCCCCCCCUUUGCUGCUACUCUUCUGGGAAAGCUUUCCGCUAGAUGUUGGAACAUUGCUGCGGGGACUUGCUUACAUUCAGCCACAAGAGCCUUAGUGAGGUCAGGCACUGAUGUUGUGCGAUUAGGCCUGGCUGUAGCGUUAAGAUUUCCCUUCACUGGAACUAAGGGGCCUAGUCCGAACCAUGAAAAACAGCCCCGGAUCAUAAUUUCUCCAACACCAAACAUUACAGUUGGCACUAUGCAUUGGGGCAGGUAGCGUUCUCCUGGCAUCUGACAAACCCAGUUUAGUCCGGUGGACUGCCAGAUGAUUAAACGUGAUUCAUGUGCUUCCACUGCUCCAAAGUCCAGCGGUGGUGAGCUUUCAUAUAAUUUCCACCACUCCAGCUGAUGCUUGGCAUUGGGCAUGGUGAUAUUAGGCUUGUGUGGGGCUGCUCGGCCAUGGAAACCCAUUUUUGGAAGCUCCCCACGAACAUUUAUUGUGCUGACGUUGCUUCCAGAGGCCGUUUGGAACUUGGAAGUGAGUUUUGCAGAAAUGUUGCAACACUCACAGAAGUGUUUCAGAAAUGUGACAAACUUACUUUUUGGAAAGGUGGCAUCCGAUGACAGUGCCACGGUGAAAGUCACUGAGCUCUUAACGCCAUUCUACUGCCAAUGUUGGUCAAAUGAGAUUGCAUGGCUAUACACCUGUCAUCAACGGGUGUGGCUGAAAUAGCCAAAUCCACUCAUUUGAAGGGGUGUUCACAUACCUUUGUAUAUAUAGUGUAUUAACAUUUUCAUAUACAUUUCCAUAUUUACAUUUUAAAUUAAUUAUAAAAAAUAUUAAAUCUGUAAUAUUAAGUCUGUAAAUUAAACCAAAGACAAAAGCUCUGCAGUGAAACUUCAAUAAAACCAAGGUAACAUUUUCUAACUCAAAUGUCGUAUUCAGUUUCUUCCUAGACUUCUAUGAAUGUUUGGUAGAAAUGUGCCAUAUAAAGCAAUAUUUUUGA